Molecule: ribosomal RNA, 448 nt
Filed under: uncultured Anoxybacillus sp.
Lineage: Bacteria; Bacillati; Bacillota; Bacilli; Caryophanales; Anoxybacillaceae
Description: bacterial SSU rRNA
Rfam family: Bacterial small subunit ribosomal RNA
Source: RNAcentral
CUAUGUGGUUUAAUUCGAAGACAACGCGAAGAACCUUACCAGGUCUUGACAUCCCUGACAACCCGAGAGAUCAGGCGUUUCCCCUUCGGGGGACAGGGUUGACAGGUGGUGCAUGGUUGUCGUCAGCUCGUGUCGUGAGAUGUUGGGUUUAAGUCCCGCAACGAGCGCAACCCUCGACCUUAGUUGCCAGCAUUCAGUUGGGCACUCUAAGGUGACUGCCGGCUAAAAGUCGGAGGAAGUGGGGAUGACGUCAAAUCAUCAUGCCCCUUAUGACCUGGGCUACACACGUGCUACAAUGGGCGGUACAAAGGGUCGCGAACCCGCGAGGGGGAGCCAAUCCCAAAAAGCCGCUCUCAGUUCGGAUUGCAGGCUGCAACUCGCCUGCAUGAAGCCGGAAUCGCUAGUAAUCGCGGAUCAGCAUGCCGCGGUGAAUACGUUCCCGGGCCUU